GAUGAAGAACGUAGUGAAAUGCGAUACUUGGUGUGAAUUGCAGAAUCCCGUGAACCAUCGAGUCUUUGAACGCAAGUUGCGCCCGAAGCCAUUAGGCCGAGGGCACGCCUGCCUGGGCGUCACACGUCGUUGCCCCCCCAUCUACUCCUUCGGGAUUGCGGGGGGCGGAUGAUGGCCUCCCGUGCGCCUAGUCGCGCGGUUGGCGUAAAAGCCAAGUCCUCGGCGACGCACGCCACGACAAUCGGUGGUUACGAAACCUCGGUUGCCCGUCGUGUGCGGUCGUCGCGCAUCGAGGGCUCGAAAAAAUUGCCGGGCUCCGGCUCGGCUUUCAACGCGACCCCAGGUCAGGCGGGGUUACCCGCUGAAUUUAAGCAUAUCAAUAAGCGGAGGA
RNAcentral lists this unclassified non-coding RNA (391 nucleotides) under soil metagenome. RNAcentral's name for it is "partial contains 5.8S ribosomal RNA, internal transcribed spacer 2, and large subunit ribosomal RNA". The stretch from base 1 to 122 matches the Rfam family "5.8S ribosomal RNA", at positions 35 to 154 of the family's 154-position model. The record is from RNAcentral.